Long non-coding RNA from Polypterus senegalus (gray bichir), 388 nucleotides. RefSeq lists it as uncharacterized. The transcript is spliced from 2 exons. The record is from RefSeq and is a predicted model, not a curated record. Lineage: Eukaryota; Metazoa; Chordata; Cladistia; Polypteriformes; Polypteridae.
AAAAGUCAACAAGACGCAUUUCAACUACCCUAAUAGGAACUGUGACGACGCCUCGGCAGACUACAGAGCAAACGAAUGGGACCCAGAAAUUGGAUGCUAUUUAGGAGAAUUGACGAGCGAGGUACCAGCGAAUGAAUACAUCACUGAAUUUAUAAGCACGGGUCCAAAAGUUAUGGUUAUAAGCUAUCCAACGGUGAAACCUGUCUAAAAGUUAAAGGUAUAACAUUAAAUGUUAAGAACUGUGAAAAGGUUAAUUUUCAAAGCUUAAAAGAACUGCUAUUUGACUAUGCAGAAAAUAAAAAACUGUCUUCAGAACAUAAAAAUAUCAAAGUUGAAGAUUUUGGUAUUGUCCGGGUAAAACGCAGCUGGCAUAUAGAAACCAGAAAAA